RNAcentral lists this ribosomal RNA (701 nucleotides) under Tricholomataceae sp. Z39. Its description in RNAcentral is "eukaryotic LSU rRNA". The stretch from base 278 to 431 matches the Rfam family "5.8S ribosomal RNA". Lineage: Eukaryota; Fungi; Basidiomycota; Agaricomycetes; Agaricales; Tricholomataceae. The record is from RNAcentral.
CAGUAGCGUCUGAGGACGAUCAUUAUUGAAGUUGAAUCGAGGGGUUGUAGCUGGCUCUCUUUCGGAGCAUGUGCACGCCUUUCGUCACUUUCUUACCACCUGUGCACCUUUGUAGACUCGGAUGGAUGUCUGAAACAUCUCAGUAUUCGUACUGGAUAGGGGUUUGCUCUUCGGCUUUCCCUGAAUUGACGAUGUCCGUUUCUUGUCUAUGUUUUUCAUACACACUUUGAAUGUAUCAGAAUGUUUAUCAUGGGUCUUGUACCUAUAAACUUAAUACAACUUUCAACAACGGAUCUCUUGGCUCUCGCAUCGAUGAAGAACGCAGCGAAAUGCGAUAAGUAAUGUGAAUUGCAGAAUUCAGUGAAUCAUCGAAUCUUUGAACGCACCUUGCACCCUUUGGUAUUCCGAAGGGUAUGCCUGUUUGAGUGUCAUUAAAUUCUCAACCUCAAAAAGUUUGUCUUUCUUGAGGCUUGGAUGUGGGGGCUGCGGGCUUCUUAGAAGUCGGCUCUCCUUAAAUGCAUUAGUGGAAACGUUUGGAUCCCUCCCACUUGGUGUGAUAGUUAUCUACGCCAGCCGGUGAUAUCUAUUUGGCUUUCUGCUUCAAACUGUCUAUUAAAUUAGACAACAUUUGACCAUCUUGACCUCACAUCAGGUAGGACUACCCGCUGAACUUAAGCAUAUCAUUAACGCGAGAGAAAUUC